Drosophila gunungcola (fruit fly) is the source of this 1384-nucleotide long non-coding RNA. RefSeq lists it as uncharacterized. NCBI's taxonomy places the organism in Eukaryota, Metazoa, Arthropoda, Insecta, Diptera, Drosophilidae. The transcript is spliced from 4 exons. The record is from RefSeq and is a predicted model, not a curated record.
UUAAAUUGCUUUUAAUCCCACUUAAAUUUGAUUUGAGAGCAUAAUAUAAACUGAUAAAUUUAAAAUAUGUUACUUAAAAUAUUUUAAGUGCAUGUGGGUGCUUUUUCAUACGACAAAGGCGCUGAGAAACCGUGUUGUCAACAAUGGGAACACCCACACGCAUUGUGGCCGGGUGACAAAUCGCAUUUUUCGGCAAGAUCAAGCGAUCACAACAAAGUGCCAACAGGGCCAAUAGGGGAAAAUUGUAUUCCCAACAAAUAAUUGCUUAUCGUUUGUUUGGCGGACGCAGGCUGCUGCGGCUGAUAAUGUCAUUAUCCUGGACGCAGGGAAAAGGAGUCCUUCUCGCCACAUGACGUCACCAGCUUAUUAAAUGUCAUAUUAAGCAUGCCCAGGAGCAGGUCGAAAGUCUCUGGCACUCUGGAAAUGUUGAUGUUUGCUCGGGCGAAACACCUUGGAGCCGAGGAAAACCACCUGACCCCGGCCAGAUCAUCUAAUUGAAUGACAAUAUUAUGCCAAGGCCUAAUUCAAUUUGCAUUGCUUGGGAAUCGCUGCAGGUGGAGUAGCUCGAACCGAACAUGGGCUGAAUCUUAAACAAACACGCCAAUUACAGCCAAACGGAUGCACUUGUCUGGCUGGCCAAAUGACUUGGUCCUGUAAUUAGCCCGCAGAUGAAAGGAUGCGGGAUGGGCUCACAUGCACGCCCUCUUUUUCUGGCCUUUUGUCGGCCUUUCUCGGGGGUCCCGGCUAAUUAUCACAUUUUUACUCAUUAAUUCACAUUUGCCUGUUUUUUCUUUGUUUUUUUCCCGUAUUUUUGGCAGGUCCUGCGUUGAUCCUGCUGCCUAAUUACAGGGUAAUCAGCCUUUCAGCCGCAAUGGCUACUGAAUGGUGAUUGAUUGAGGCGUGUAGGAGUGACAUCUGCCGAUGCGCGUGCCAAACAAAAGAAGGCGAGGAAAGUGCAAACAGCAGCUGAAAUGGAUAUGGAAAGCAGCAUCAGCGCAGCCAAGGAAAAAGCAAAUCGAAAACUGAUUUGGAGCGGAAGUUCGUUUGCACCUUUCUGCAGUUUCCUGUAUAUUUGCCGCCGCCGCCGCCGCCACCGUCGUUAGAACAAUAAAAACACACACAAGCUGCGGAAUCCAACAGCCACUUCCAUUGCAUAUCCACAAUCGCAAUCAGAAUCGUCGAGUGUUCUAUAUAGUACGAAUACCUUGACUUGUCUUGGCCUUUGACGCCGUCUUUUGUACUAAGAGAGUUGAGAUGGAUGGAUGGAUGAAGUCACCGCCCGUUGGCUUUUGAAUGAGCUGCAAAUCAAAAGCUAUAUACGAUUUCACACAAGUAUGGAUUAAGGAUAUGCGUGUGCACGCAGAGAAAUAUUGCGAUGCUUUUG